Molecule: ribosomal RNA, 551 nt
Filed under: Bifidobacterium animalis subsp. lactis
Lineage: Bacteria; Bacillati; Actinomycetota; Actinomycetes; Bifidobacteriales; Bifidobacteriaceae
Description: bacterial SSU rRNA
Rfam family: Bacterial small subunit ribosomal RNA
Source: RNAcentral
GUGGUAAUACCGGAUGCUCCGCUCCAUCGCAUGGUGGGGUGGGAAAUGCUUUUGCGGCAUGGGAUGGGGUCGCGUCCUAUCAGCUUGUUGGCGGGGUGAUGGCCCACCAAGGCGUUGACGGGUAGCCGGCCUGAGAGGGUGACCGGCCACAUUGGGACUGAGAUACGGCCCAGACUCCUACGGGAGGCAGCAGUGGGGAAUAUUGCACAAUGGGCGCAAGCCUGAUGCAGCGACGCCGCGUGCGGGAUGGAGGCCUUCGGGUUGUAAACCGCUUUUGUUCAAGGGCAAGGCACGGUUUCGGCCGUGUUGAGUGGAUUGUUCGAAUAAGCACCGGCUAACUACGUGCCAGCAGCCGCGGUAAUACGUAGGGUGCGAGCGUUAUCCGGAUUUAUUGGGCGUAAAGGGCUCGUAGGCGGUUCGUCGCGUCCGGUGUGAAAGUCCAUCGCCUAACGGUGGAUCUGCGCCGGGUACGGGCGGGCUGGAGUGCGGUAGGGGAGACUGGAAUUCCCGGUGUAACGGUGGAAUGUGUAGAUAUCGGAAAAAAAACACCA